UCUCUUUCUCUCUCUCUCUCUUCCUCUAUUU
Molecule: small RNA, 31 nt
Filed under: Arabidopsis thaliana (thale cress)
Lineage: Eukaryota; Viridiplantae; Streptophyta; Magnoliopsida; Brassicales; Brassicaceae
Description: ATSL103330
Source: RNAcentral